AUUGAACGCUGGCGGCAGGCCUAACACAUGCAAGUCGAGCGGAUGAAGGGAGCUUGCUCCUGGAUUCAGCGGCGGACGGGUGAGUAAUGCCUAGGAAUCUGCCUGGUAGUGGGGGAUAACGUCCGGAAACGGGCGCUAAUACCGCAUACGUCCUGAGGGAGAAAGUGGGGGAUCUUCGGACCUCACGCUAUCAGAUGAGCCUAGGUCGGAUUGGCUAGUUGGUGGGGUAAAGGCCUACCAAGGCGACGAUCCGUAACUGGUCUGAGAGGAUGAUCAGUCACACUGGAACUGAUACACGGUCCAGACUCCUACGGGAGGCAGCAGUGGGGAAUAUUGGACAAUGGGCGAAAGCCUGAUCCAGCCAUGCCGCGUGUGUGAAGAAGGUCUUCGGAUUGUAAAGCACUUUAAGUUGGGAGGAAGGGCAGUAAGUUAAUACCUUGCUGUUUUGACGUUACCAACAGAAUAAGCACCGGCUAACUUCGUG
Molecule: ribosomal RNA, 484 nt
Filed under: uncultured bacterium
Lineage: Bacteria
Description: partial 16S ribosomal RNA
Rfam family: Bacterial small subunit ribosomal RNA
Source: RNAcentral